Molecule: long non-coding RNA, 536 nt
Organism: Nomia melanderi (Alkali bee)
Lineage: Eukaryota; Metazoa; Arthropoda; Insecta; Hymenoptera; Halictidae
Source: RefSeq, a predicted model, not a curated record
UGCACAGAUUAAACCGAGGCGCCCAGGAAAGAAGAGUGGCCGGGAAGGAAGUUGGAAUGAAAGGACUCUAGGUCGCCGCAUUCUUUGUUCCAGCCAAUCGCAGUGUAUGACGGAUGUCGCAAGCACGUAAUUUCCAUCUUCCUGGCGCGCGACCAACUCCUGGGUCUCGGGGUACUCGGAAAUCUCGGUCUUAGAAGACUGGAAGGUCUUGAGGGUCUCAAUGAUCUCAGGAGUCUGAUGUGUCUUGGAAUCUCGAGAGUCGCGGGAAUUGCGUGCGUUCUCGAGGAUGUGGAAGCGGUGGAUUCAUAUAUGAGCGCUUGCAGAUCAGGGACAAGAGUGGCAAUGCUCGAGUAGCGGUUGAAAACCACACCCUGGUUAAGUGGCGUUUUCAUUAAUGCAAUUCGGAUAUCAUCUUGCAAAUCCAGGAGCAUUUCGGAAAACAACUAUGACCGACCGCAAUUAGAUAACAUCAAAAGCAAGUGCAUUGGACACGUAGGAACAGAACAAAAGGGAACAGUUGGAAGCGAGAACCUGGC